UAGACAUUAGUAAAAUAUAUAUUACACCACCUUGUCAGGGUGGAGUUGUGGGUAAUCAACCCCCGCAUGUCUUA
This 74-nucleotide transfer RNA is filed under the name Enteromius fasciolatus (African banded barb). RNAcentral describes it as "tRNA-Asp". Lineage: Eukaryota; Metazoa; Chordata; Actinopteri; Cypriniformes; Cyprinidae. The record is from RNAcentral.